UUCGGAUUGUAGGCUGCAACUCGCCUACAUGAAGUCGGAGUUGCUAGUAAUCGCGGAUCAGAAUGCCGCGGUGAAUGCGUUCCCGGGUCUUGUACACACCGCCCGUCACACCAUGGAAGUUGGGGGCGCCCGAAGUUGCCUAAGAAAUAAGGUACCUAAGGCGAAACCAAUGACUGGGGUGAAGUCGUAACAAGGUAUC
This 199-nucleotide ribosomal RNA is filed under the name uncultured bacterium. RNAcentral's name for it is "partial 16S ribosomal RNA". It matches the Rfam family "Bacterial small subunit ribosomal RNA", at positions 1292 to 1500 of the family's 1533-position model. The record is from RNAcentral.